This 492-nucleotide ribosomal RNA is filed under the name uncultured bacterium. RNAcentral's name for it is "partial 16S ribosomal RNA". It matches the Rfam family "Bacterial small subunit ribosomal RNA", at positions 29 to 507 of the family's 1533-position model. The record is from RNAcentral.
AGUGAACGCUGGCGGUAGGCCUAACACAUGCAAGUCGAACGGCAGCACAGUAAGAGCUUGCUCUUACGGGUGGCGAGUGGCGGACGGGUGAGGAAUACAUCGGAGUCUACUUUUUCGUGGGGGAUAACGUAGGGAAGCUUACGCUAAUACCGCAUACGACCUACGGGUGAAAGCAGGGGAUCUUCGGACCUUGCGCGAUUGAAUGAGCCGAUGUCGGAUUAGCUAGUUGGCGGGGUAAAGGCCCACCAAGGCGACGAUCCGUAGCUGGUCUGAGAGGAUGAUCAGCCACACUGGAACUGAGACACGGUCCAGACUCCUACGGGAGGCAGCAGUGGGGAAUAUUGGACAAUGGGCGCAAGCCUGAUCCAGCCAUACCGCGUGGGUGAAGAAGGCCUUCGGGUUGUAAAGCCCUUUUGUUGGGAAAGAAAAGCAGCAGGUUAAUACCCCGCUGUUCUGACGGUACCCAAAGAAUAAGCACCGGCUAACUUCGUG